GACUAUUUAGUAUAUCUAGUAUGUCUAAUUUCCAAUUAGAAGGUCUAACUAUAGAAUAGUCA
This 62-nucleotide transfer RNA is filed under the name Haematopinus asini. RNAcentral's name for it is "tRNA-Gly". Lineage: Eukaryota; Metazoa; Arthropoda; Insecta; Psocodea; Haematopinidae. The record is from RNAcentral.